GACGAACGCUGGCGGCGUGCUUAACACAUGCAAGUCGAACGGAAAGGCCCUGCUUUUGUGGGGUGCUCGAGUGGCGAACGGGUGAGUAACACGUGAGUAACCUGCCCUUGACUUUGGGAUAACUUCAGGAAACUGGGGCUAAUACCGGAUAGGAGCUCCUGCUGCAUGGUGGGGGUUGGAAAGUUUCGGCGGUUGGGGAUGGACUCGCGGCUUAUCAGCUUGUUGGUGGGGUAGUGGCUUACCAAGGCUUUGACGGGUAGCCGGCCUGAGAGGGUGACCGGCCACAUUGGGACUGAGAUACGGCCCAGACUCCUACGGGAGGCAGCAGUGGGGAAUAUUGCACAAUGGGCGGAAGCCUGAUGCAGCAACGCCGCGUGCGGGAUGACGGCCUUCGGGUUGUAAACCGCUUUCGCCUGUGACGAAGCGUGAGUGACGGGAAUGGGUAAAAAGCACCGGCUAACUACGUG
This 467-nucleotide ribosomal RNA is filed under the name uncultured bacterium. RNAcentral describes it as "partial 16S ribosomal RNA". It matches the Rfam family "Bacterial small subunit ribosomal RNA", at positions 28 to 507 of the family's 1533-position model. The record is from RNAcentral.